Helianthus annuus (common sunflower) is the source of this 2130-nucleotide long non-coding RNA. RefSeq lists it as uncharacterized. The transcript has 3 exons. Lineage: Eukaryota; Viridiplantae; Streptophyta; Magnoliopsida; Asterales; Asteraceae. The record is from RefSeq and is a predicted model, not a curated record.
UUUCGUAAAACGCGCCAUGAGAAAUUCAGUGUUUUACAGACCUUUUGGACCUAAUACAAACUUUAAACAACUCACUAACGCAUUAUAUCCGAUUAUCCAAUACUUAAGCCAUACUUAAACUCGUAAUAGUCUAUUAGAUCAAACUAGCCCUUUUUUUUUUAUCAAAAUACAAAGUGUUUCGUAUAAAGAUGUUCUUCCUAACACGGCACAUUUUAUAUAUAUACCUCUCCAAGUUGAUUCAAAACUAUGUAAACUCACACACGUGCAUGCUUUUACUUAGGAUAAAUAUCUCGAUUCUUUUAGCCAAAAUGCUUUUUCUCAAAGGUCUUUCUCUUGAAUAAAUUUCGGGACGAAAUUUUUUUAAAGGAGGGGAGACUGUAACGCCCUGCUUUUUCGUAACUUUCCUUAAUUAGAAAUCUUGUCGUGCGUUUCUAUUGUAAUCGUAUCGUAUUUCGAUUCGUUGUAAGUCCGAAACUUGAUUGUAAUGCAGUCGACCUUUUGUGGGAAAUAUACAUCGUUUACACAUGCUUAUACUUGGAUACGCAUACUCGUUUAUUACUUGAUUCGUGAUUCUCUUAAACGUGUACUUAACUCGUAACCAACUCGUGAAUUCGUGACACUUAAACGUUCCAUACAUAUAAAACAUUUAAUUAAUCAAAACGAGACUUAUACUUAAUUAGCACUUCAUUCUAUGUUUUAACACAUUUAUUAAACACCUAUGUUACUAAUUAGAACAUUCUAGGUCUUGUAGGUGUUGUUACACAUUAAACUGUAUAUAAUACUUUAAUUAUGCACCUAAAACCUACUUAUAUAUUAAAAAAAAAAGGAUAGAAAAAAAUAUAUAUAUAUGGGCUGUUAACAGCCCCUUGCGGCUGGACUCACAACCAAACACCAAAAUCUUUUUUUUGAUUAAGUGUUAAAAACCCCAAUACUUGCAUGUUGACAUUCUUUAAUUUCACGUUGAUUAAGCAAUGCACAUUAUAAACCCAUGAUAUAAACUACAAUUGUGUGUCUUAUAAAGUUAAAAGUAUAUAUAUAUAAAUCAUAAUAUAUGUAAUCAGCCUACCAACUUGCGGCCGCAAGUGGUAGGGCUGAAUUGUUUGUUUGUUGUUUCAAAUAAGUAAUCACCAUCAUGCACAUUAAUUCAUCAUCGAUAUUUUUAAUAUGCAUACCAUACUUUGCCAACAUUUAAUGUAAUGUUCAACAACAAAAGAAAUAGUAGAAUCUAGGCAGUUUACAGCCAUGAUCGGAUAGCCUCAUGGCUUGUCUAAUUGUUUCUUUUUAUUCAUUUCAACAACCAACAACUUAACAUUAAUGCCAACUACUAACCAAACCUAAUUACAAAAGUUAUCCAAACCCUAAUCCCCAUUUAUUUUGAUCGGCCGCCCCUCAUGAUCUUUCCCUCCCAAGUACACCCUUACAUCUCUGCAACAUAUUCAAAACCCUUAUCCACCCUCCAUGUUUUACACAACAACCACAUAAGAUCAUCCUUGACACCCUCAUACACUCUUCCUCGUUUUCACUUCACACCACAGCCAUGUACCCGCCGGAGAAACGGGCUUCACGGUUGCCGUAACCGCAGUCGGAACAAGUAGCUCUCAUCGAAAUCGCUUGCUGGAAUCGGUGUUUUUACGUCGAACCCGAAUCUUCAUUCGUUUCGGUAUAUACUUCUUAUCCAUUUUGUUUUGAUCUUCUGUCAACCUAGCGGCCUUUGUUCCUUUCAUUUGUUAAACCUUCUGUGACAACCACUUUGGUAGAUAAAAAUGUGUAACAGACAAAGAAAAGUCGUCGGAGUUUUACGACGGGGAUCGCGCCGCACGUAUUCGGUAUACCUUACACCUUAAACCCAUUCCGCGACCUCGUAAAGAAAGAAAGAAAGAAACACUCUCUCUCUUUAACUACACUUUCGCCGGUGAUCGGAGUUUCGCCGGAGCCGUACGGUGCUUGCCGGGAAAUAUCGAACACUGCCGGAGUCUUAUAUUCCCACGCGCUUCGAAAGGAUAAACACUUACGUUCAUUCUCUUGGAAUUCUCCAUCCUUACUCGUGCGUUAUUUCAAGGAAUUCUUAUACGCGAUCAAUGUUGAUGAUGAUGAAAUGAAAACGGAUAGCAAAGAUGCCUAGAUACUCAC